GACGAACGCUGGCGGCGUGCCUAAUACAUGCAAGUAGAACGCUGAAGGAGGAGCUUGCUUCUCUGGAUGAGUUGCGAACGGGUGAGUAACGCGUAGGUAACCUGCCUGGUAGCGGGGGAUAACUAUUGGAAACGAUAGCUAAUACCGCAUAAUAGUAGAUGUUGCAUGACAUUUGCUUAAAAGGUGCAAUUGCAUCACUACCAGAUGGGCCUGCGUUGUAUUAGCUAGUUGGUGGGGUAACGGCUCACCAAGGCGACGAUACAUAGCCGACCUGAGAGGGUGAUCGGCCACACUGGGACUGAGACACGGCCCAGACUCCUACGGGAGGCAGCAGUAGGGAAUCUUCGGCAAUGGACGGAAGUCUGACCGAGCAACGCCGCGUGAGUGAAGAAGGGUUUCGGAUCGUAAAGCUCUGUUGUAAGAGAAGAACGAGUGUGAGAGUGGAAAGUUCACACUGUGACGGUAUCUUACCAGAAAGGGACGGCUAACUACGUG
RNAcentral lists this ribosomal RNA (495 nucleotides) under uncultured bacterium. Its description in RNAcentral is "partial 16S ribosomal RNA". It matches the Rfam family "Bacterial small subunit ribosomal RNA", at positions 28 to 507 of the family's 1533-position model. The record is from RNAcentral.